RNAcentral lists this ribosomal RNA (692 nucleotides) under bacterium B_C49_91. RNAcentral describes it as "bacterial SSU rRNA". It matches the Rfam family "Bacterial small subunit ribosomal RNA", at positions 111 to 832 of the family's 1533-position model. The record is from RNAcentral.
UAACGCGUGGGAAUAUGCCCAAAGGUACGGAAUAGCCUCUGGAAACGGAGAGUAAUACCGUAUGUGCCCUUCGGGGGAAAGAUUUAUCGCCUUUGGAUUAGCCCGCGUUAGAUUAGGUAGUUGGUGGGGUAAUGGCCUACCAAGCCUACGAUCUAUAGCUGGUUUUAGAGGAUGAUCAGCAACACUGGGACUGAGACACGGCCCAGACUCCUACGGGAGGCAGCAGUGGGGAAUCUUGGACAAUGGGGGCAACCCUGAUCCAGCCAUGCCGCGUGAGUGAUGAAGGCCUUAGGGUCGUAAAGCUCUUUCGCCUGUGAAGAUAAUGACGGUAGCAGGUAAAGAAACCCCGGCUAACUCCGUGCCAGCAGCCGCGGUAAUACGGAGGGGGUUAGCGUUGUUCGGAAUUACUGGGCGUAAAGCGCACGUAGGCGGAUCGGAAAGUUGGGGGUGAAAUCCCGGGGCUCAACCCCGGAACUGCCUCCAAAACUAUCGGUCUAGAGUUCGAGAGAGGUGAGUGGAAUUCCGAGUGUAGAGGUGAAAUUCGUAGAUAUUCGGAGGAACACCAGUGGCGAAGGCGGCUCACUGGCUCGAUACUGACGCUGANGUGCCAAAAGUGUGGGGNAGCAAACAGGGAUUAGAUACCCCUGGUAGUCCACACCCGUAAACGAUGAAAUGCCAGUUCCGUNCGGGUA